CCUACGGGAGGCAGCAGUAAGGAAUCUUGCGCAAUGGGCGAAAGCCUGACGCAGCGACGCCGCGUGGGCGAUGAAGGCCUUCGGGUUGUAAAGCCCUUUUCUGGGGGACGAGGAAGGACGGUACCCCAGGAAUAAGUCACGGCUAACUACGUGCCAGCAGCCGCGGUAAAACGUAGGUGGCAAGCGUUAUCCGGAAUCACUGGGCGUAAAGGGCGUCUAGGCGGACGGGUAAGUCGUGCGUGAAAGCUUCCGGCUCAACCGGGAGAGGUCGUACGAUACUGCCUGUCUUGAGGGUCGGAGAGGGACGUGAAAUCCCCGGUGUAGCGGUGAAAUGCGUAGAUAUCGGGAGGAACACCCGUGGCGAGGGCGGCCUCCUGGGUUGUUCCUGACGCUGAGGCCCGAAAGCGUGGGGAGCGAACCGGAUUAGAUCCCCCGGUAGU
RNAcentral lists this ribosomal RNA (440 nucleotides) under uncultured Anaerolineae bacterium. Its description in RNAcentral is "partial 16S ribosomal RNA". It matches the Rfam family "Bacterial small subunit ribosomal RNA", at positions 338 to 794 of the family's 1533-position model. Lineage: Bacteria; Bacillati; Chloroflexota; Anaerolineae. The record is from RNAcentral.